CGGAGGGUGCAAGCGUUAUCCGGAUUCACUGGGUUUAAAGGGUGCGUAGGUGGGCAAGUAAGUCAGUGGUGAAAUCUCCGGGCUUAACCCGGAAACUGCCAUUGAUACUAUUUGUCUUGAAUACUGUGGAGGUCAGCGGAAUAUGUCAUGUAGCGGUGAAAUGCUUAGAUAUGACAUAGAACACCAAUUGCGUAGGCAGCUGGCUACACAAAUAUUGACACUGAGGCACGAAAGCGUGGGGAUCAAACAGGAUUAGAUACCCUGGUAGUCCACGCCCUAAACUAUGGAUACUCGACAUUUGCGAUAAACUGCAAGUGUCUGAGUGAAAGCAUUAAGUAUCCCACCUGGGAAGUACGAUCGCAAGAUUG
This 368-nucleotide ribosomal RNA is filed under the name uncultured organism. RNAcentral's name for it is "bacterial SSU rRNA". It matches the Rfam family "Bacterial small subunit ribosomal RNA", at positions 526 to 896 of the family's 1533-position model. The record is from RNAcentral.